GAUGAACGCUAGCUACAGGCUUAACACAUGCAAGUCGCGGGGCAGCAUGGAUGUCCUUUCGGGGACAUCUGAUGGCGACCGGCGUACGGGUGAGUAACGCGUAUCCAACCUGCCCUUUACAACGGGACAGCCCGUCGAAAGGCGGAUUAAUACCGUAUGUUGUCAUGUUGAUGCAUAUUUUCAUGACCAAAGGCUUCGGCCGGUAAAGGAUGGGGAUGCGUCUGAGUAGCUUGCCGGCGGGGUAACGGCCCACCGGGGCGACGAUCAGUAGGGGUUCUGAGAGGAAGGUCCCCCACAUUGGAACUGAGACACGGUCCAA
Molecule: ribosomal RNA, 319 nt
Filed under: uncultured bacterium
Lineage: Bacteria
Description: bacterial SSU rRNA
Rfam family: Bacterial small subunit ribosomal RNA
Source: RNAcentral